Molecule: ribosomal RNA, 450 nt
Filed under: uncultured bacterium
Lineage: Bacteria
Description: partial 16S ribosomal RNA
Rfam family: Bacterial small subunit ribosomal RNA
Source: RNAcentral
GUGGGGAAUAUUGGACAAUGGGCGAAAGCCUGAUCCAGCCAUGCCGCGUGUGUGAAGAAGGUCUUCGGAUUGUAAAGCACUUUAAGUUGGGAGGAAGGGCAGUAAGUUAAUACCUUGCUGUUUUGACGUUACCGACAGAAUAAGCACCGGCUAACUUCGUGCCAGCAGCCGCGGUAAUACGAAGGGUGCAAGCGUUAAUCGGAAUUACUGGGCGUAAAGCGCGCGUAGGUGGUUUUGUAAGUUGGAGGUGAAAUCCCCGGGCUCAACCUGGGAACUGCGUCCAAAACUGCAUGACUAGAGUACGGUAGAGGGUAGUGGAAUUUCCUGUGUAGCGGUGAAAUGCGUAGAUAUAGGAAGGAACACCAGUGGCGAAGGCGACUACCUGGACUGAUACUGACACUGAGGUGCGAAAGCGUGGGGAGCAAACAGGAUUAGAAACCCGGGUAGUCC